This 253-nucleotide unclassified non-coding RNA is filed under the name uncultured Nitriliruptoraceae bacterium. Its description in RNAcentral is "contains 16S-23S intergenic spacer region". It matches the Rfam family "Bacterial small subunit ribosomal RNA", at positions 524 to 776 of the family's 1533-position model. Lineage: Bacteria; Bacillati; Actinomycetota; Nitriliruptoria; Nitriliruptorales; Nitriliruptoraceae. The record is from RNAcentral.
UACGUAGGGACCGAGCGUUGUCCGGAAUUAUUGGGCGUAAAGCGCGCGUAGGCGGUCCGUUAAGUCGGAUGUGAAAUCCCAGGGCUCAACCCUGGAACUGCAUCCGAUACUGGCGGACUUGAGGAAGGUAGGGGAGAGUGGAAUUCCCGGUGUAGCGGUGGAAUGCGCAGAUAUCGGGAGGAACACCAAUGGCGAAGGCAGCUCUCUGGGCCUUUCCUGACGCUGAGGUGCGAAAGCGUGGGUAGCAAACAGG